UUCCGCAUACAGUUCAGAGAGUGAGAGCAGGGAAUUUGAGGAUGUUUUGGUCGAUACAGAAGGAUAUUUAAACGUUGAGCCGUACAUGUUCGAGCCAUUAAUAUCACUAGAUCAUAGUGAGAGUGAUCAUUCGGACGAAAGUGAUUAGAAUUUGUGGUUAAUCAAUUUGCAUGGCAGACCUGCCGAUAUAGCAAAGAAGACAUUGAUAGACGGUUGCAGAUGCAUAACAUGUAUGAUUUUUGAACAGACUAAUGUUGCACAAUAUUGUUUCGCCUCGUCAGUGUUGUAGGCCCUAUCGCCAGUUAUGUCAUGACGCUGAACUACUAUUGAAAAGUGACGGUAUUAUGCACAAUCAUCUUGACGUGACGAUAAAAUGCCGUGCAACGUUAGAUAGGCCUAGAUGUCAGAUGACAAUAAUCUGUCAUUGACAGUGGCUGUCACUGACACUGACCUGUGUCGCUGUCACCUUGCUAUGGCUGGAACACAAGAAGACACUAUGCGGUAUCACAGGCCCCAAUAGGGCCUACACAUUAUGUAUAACAACCGACCUCAGCAGCCUCGGGCAUUAAAUGCAAUUGACAUGGUUGGAACAGCUGUUUUUAACAAGUGGCAUUUAAUAUUCAGUUGGAUGCAGAUAUCCGGCUUCAUUUGAUAAUCCGUAUCGAUAAAGUGAUCACUGCAAAGUUUAGCCGAAGGCCCAGGCUUCCAACACUCCAAACGUUUGCACUUCCGAAUCCACAGCUUCCUCCUCUCUCAUUCAACUGGCUUUGGAAAUUCAUGAAAAUGGGUCCCAUCCGUCAUUCGAUUGUUCUUUGUGCUAUCCUUGACACAAUUCGGAGCCACACAAUACACCAUAGUGAAUGAAACACAUUACUUCCAGGCUGCACCAGCAAGUAGGCCUGAGGCAACUUCUCAACCUGUGAACAAUAGGAAGUCAGUCAAAGCUAAGAAAAGAAAAGCCAGCAAGGGAAAAGCAAGCAAGGCGAAGGGAGACUAUUGCGAAGCUGAGAGAAUAGACAACUACGACCCCAAAAACAACACGUAUUACAUAAAGUGGCAAGGAUAUGAUGCGUCCCACAACUCAUGGGUGAAAGCGGAAGACGUAACUUCUCCUCUCAUCUCUUCUUACAAAGAAAAAUUAGGUUCCGGAACGCACAAGAAGUGAUGCACCUCAUGUCUUUCGAUUGUUGAAAAAAUUGAUGUGAAUUUGUGCAAAUCCUCCCGCCUGUGUUUUUUUGUUCAGUGGAAUUUACGUAUUUCGGUAUUCCUUCUUCACCUCCACGCAUUAUUCAUUCUGACAUAAACUCACAUGAUCACUUUUGAUGAAAGAUUACAUAAUGGAUAAUACAUGUAUUGAAUUGGCACAAAUAUAGUACAAUGUAAACUUAUCAUAUCUUUCAUUAAAAGGUCUCAUUAAAAGUAAAUGUAAGUUACAUGUACAUGUACUGUGGAAUUAUUGUUUUUUCAGACAAUCUGUGGCUGUUGUAUACAUGUAUCAUUCAAUAAACGUGGCGUUUUUCAUAUUAUUAGAUACA
Molecule: RNA transcript, 1535 nt
Organism: Lineus longissimus
Lineage: Eukaryota; Metazoa; Nemertea; Pilidiophora; Heteronemertea; Lineidae
Exons: 5
Source: RefSeq, a predicted model, not a curated record